RNAcentral lists this ribosomal RNA (259 nucleotides) under uncultured bacterium. RNAcentral describes it as "partial 16S ribosomal RNA". It matches the Rfam family "Bacterial small subunit ribosomal RNA", at positions 524 to 777 of the family's 1533-position model. The record is from RNAcentral.
UACAGAGGUCUCAAGCGUUGUUCGGAUUCAUUGGGCGUAAAGGGUGCGUAGGCGGCGCGGUAAGUCGGGGUGUGAAAAUCUCGGAGCUUAACUCCGAAAACUGCAUUCGAUACUGCCGUGCUUGAGGACUGGAGAGGAGACUGGAAUUUAUGGUGUAGCGGUGAAAAUGCGUAGAUAUCGUAAGGAAGACCAGUGGCGAAGGCGGGUCUCUGGACAGUUCCUGACGCUGAGGCACGAAGGUCAGGGGGAGCAAAACGGG